GAUCAAUUUCCCUGAAAAUUCCUCCUUCGGUUUGGCUUCCUAGUCUUAAGAUUCUUAAGAUGGAGGAUGUUAGAUAUGAAAAUGGAGAUUGAGCUCAGGAGCUGAUCCAUGGGUGCCCAGUUCUUGAAUAUUUGAAAAUUUACAGGGGGUGUGAGAGUGAAGAAGUGUUGAACAUUUCUGCGCCCUCAUUGAAGCGUCUUGUGGUAACCUAUAUAGGUGAUGGUGACUAGUUUAUAGUCAAUACCCUGAGCUUGAAUACCUUGAUCGCACAUAUUAUUGGGCAAAGGAUUUGUCAUUUGAGAACUUAUCAUCCUUGUUGGAAGCACAUAUCAAAACUGGUUUGUCCAACUCAGGUCCCAUCAAGACCAACAUACUCAGCUUCUUCGCGGGAUUGCAACUGUUAAGUCUUCGAGCAAGAUUUGUAGCCAUCGAUUAUUAUCGAAGAAAAUGCUUUAUGCCGAUGUUGAGGAUUAUGUUCUGCCAACUUCUCCUACUCUUCAUAAUUUGACACAUCUAAAGCUGACGGAGGGCAUUAACAAUAAUGGCUUCAACUUGAAAUGACUUUCUUGAGUACUCGCCUAACCUUGAAGUUCUUGUUCAUGAGGGAAGUAGGUACUCUUCUAACAAAGAAAUCAAAUCCUGGAGUCCACCUCCGAGAGUGCCUCACUGUUUGUUAUUUCAUCUCAAGGAAGUUGAGUUUCUGGACUUAGGUAGAGGAAGCCUUGAGUUUGAAGUGAUAGAAUAUUUGCUGAAAAGUGCUGAAAUUUUGAAGAAAUUGACAAUCCGUUCUGAGCAUUCAGAUACCUGGCGGAUAGCCCGAUUUCGAAGGGCCUCAAAGACUUGUAAACUUAAUCUCCUCUAAAGAUGUAAGUUGUUAUUCUUUUUGUUUGGGGUAUAAAUGCUAAUGCCAAGAAAUUUCUAGUGUAUCUCAUCUAGAAGGAAAUGCAUGAGCUUGAAGCUAUCGAACAUGUGUUUUUUUCAUGUGGGUGGACUAGACCUCUAUGGUCCAGUAGCAAUUUAUCUUACGAAGUGAACCAUGUGGACAUGCAGUGGAUGUCUCCUCUGCUUUAUAUUGGAUUGUGGACAGAAGUCUCCUUAAAGAUGUCUUAAGGGCUGCUUACUACCUCUGCAAGUCCAGCUCUGUAAGUGAGUUACACAGCCGAAGUCAUCUUUAUAAAUGGAAGCCCCCUCCUUUGGUUGUGAUGGAUAUUCUAUCCUCACUCUCACAAAGCAGCUUUGCAAUGAUUGUUAGUGGAAUAUUGUUCCAUCUAAUGAGUUAGAAUGAAAGUGUAAGCAGCUUUUGGUGCCGAAGCUUAGGCUGUUAGAAUUGCUUGUGAUAUGGCUUCUAUUUUUUGCCUUCUGGAAGUAAUUGAAUCAAUGUCAUCUGAGGUGAUCCAGGCCGCUAUGUCUUGCCCUUUUCAGACCUUGGGAGAUCCAGUCUUUUAUUGAAGACAUUUGCAUUGCUGCAGACGUGACGAGCUGGGCCUUCUCUUGAUGCAUAUUAGUUGGUGAUGUAGGUUAUCGUCAUAUGACUCAUUUUUCGCAAUAAUGCAAAAGUAGUGGGUCUGUUACAUAGAACAGUUGAUGAUUGCAAAAUUCGUGGGUCUCUGAAUUCUCAAUGCCAUGCUCUGAACGAGACAAAUAGACUUAUUCUGCCUGGCUCUGAACGAUGCUUUGGCUGCGGCGAAAGUGGAAGAUUAACUCUAGUGUUAUUCUGCACGCUGUGUUUUCUGGUGAUACCACACCAAUGAUAUUGAAAAACAUGGUUACACUAAAAGACCACUUGUUGCUAUCACAAUUUCUUCAUUCC
Long non-coding RNA from Rhododendron vialii, 1810 nucleotides. RefSeq lists it as uncharacterized. The record is from RefSeq and is a predicted model, not a curated record. NCBI's taxonomy places the organism in Eukaryota, Viridiplantae, Streptophyta, Magnoliopsida, Ericales, Ericaceae. The transcript has 4 exons.